UUAAGUAGUUUUAAUACUUUCAGAACACUUGACAAGAGCUUUAGAAAAAACACCAUUUAUGGAAUAUGUUUCAACAAGACGUGUCUCGAUCAUUACGGGGGAACUAAAGAUUGUUCAUACAAGAAUUGGGGUUACUUAUAAGCCCAAUGCAUGGAUAUAAACAUGGAUGUUGAGUAAAGCCCUAGGGAGGACUCUCUUAUAUUAGCUAUGGUGGCCUUUCUGUGAAGAGACCUUUCAUGUAACCCUGAGGGGCUUUUCCAUUCAACGGUGACUUGUUCAAAGGCUGUAUUAUAUGUGAGUUUACCAUAACUGCUCUUUAAAAUAUUGUAAGGGUACCUAAUGUUUUUUUCCCUUUUUGGAUUAUUUUGGUUGGUACGAUCGAUAUAAGUGGUAUGUAUCUGUCAAUGUUGGUGGUUACUUUGAUCUUAUCUUUCAUAUUCCGAGAGAUGAAUUUCGAUCAGUUAAUUGUUUAUUCCGUGACAAGAUCAAUUCGAUCAGUUUUCCUUAGACAAGAUCAA
Molecule: long non-coding RNA, 518 nt
Organism: Cryptomeria japonica (Japanese cedar)
Lineage: Eukaryota; Viridiplantae; Streptophyta; Pinopsida; Cupressales; Cupressaceae
Exons: 2
Source: RefSeq, a predicted model, not a curated record